RNAcentral lists this ribosomal RNA (492 nucleotides) under uncultured bacterium. RNAcentral's name for it is "partial 16S ribosomal RNA". It matches the Rfam family "Bacterial small subunit ribosomal RNA", at positions 29 to 507 of the family's 1533-position model. The record is from RNAcentral.
AUUGAACGCUGGCGGCAUGCUUUACACAUGCAAGUCGAACGGUAACGGGCCUUCGGGUGCUGACGAGUGGCGCACGGGUGAGUAAUGCAUCGGAACGUACCCAGAGGUGGGGGAUAACGCAGCGAAAGCUGUGCUAAUACCGCAUGUGAUCUGAGGAUGAAAGCGGGGGACCGAGCAGCAAUGUUUGGCCUCGCGCCUUUGGAGCGGCCGAUGUCGGAUUAGCUAGUUGGUGGGGUAAAGGCCUACCAAGGCGACGAUCCGUAGCUGGUCUGAGAGGACGACCAGCCACACUGGGACUGAGACACGGCCCAGACUCCUACGGGAGGCAGCAGUGGGGAAUUUUGGACAAUGGGCGCAAGCCUGAUCCAGCAAUGCCGCGUGCGGGAAGAAGGCCUUCGGGUUGUAAACCGCUUUUGGCAGGAACGAAACGGUGUCCGCUAAUACCGGGCGCUAAUGACGGUACCUGCAGAAUAAGCACCGGCUAACUACGUG